Long non-coding RNA from Syngnathus acus (greater pipefish), 2449 nucleotides. RefSeq lists it as uncharacterized. The record is from RefSeq and is a predicted model, not a curated record. NCBI's taxonomy places the organism in Eukaryota, Metazoa, Chordata, Actinopteri, Syngnathiformes, Syngnathidae. The transcript is spliced from 3 exons.
AUUAGAUUAUCAAAAUAUAAAUAAUAUGAACCUUACACGCCCAUAGCUAUCCAUCUUCAUCUGCCGCUCUAUUUUUAGCGACCAGGCCAGGAUGUUGAAUACAAUCAACUUGGAAACACCACACCUAUGCAGACCACUACCUUUUUCAUGUGUGUGUGUGUUUUGUGCAGCACAGUGGACAAUCCUCGUCUGCACUACAAUGGCGUCUGGCUCCAACCGCCCCUGUGGAUUGUGACCUCCGCCCAUCUAUUGUAUUAUAUCCCGCGUACGCAAAACCACCGAUGACCAGCACAAUUAGCCGAGGCAUUUAUCGGAGAUGAUGUCAUCACCUUGCCAGCAAAGAGGUAUGUCAUGUAAUAUUUGAACAACUUUUCAGGAUGUAUUUCUAGGUUGUUCAGUGAAUGUAUUUUUCUUGUCCUCCUAACCCCUGACCCUCAGCUGUCACCGCCGCAUCUGUUUCUUUUCCCGCCACUAUCUCCACCGAGGUUGUUUUUACCUCACCCGGACAUUCCUCAUGAUGUAGGUCACCUGUGGGUCAUCAGAUCCACUUGCACGAUGGUCAAAAGGUGCUCCUAGUUCAAGGCACUAAAACCUCUCGCGUGAUACUCAUGUUAAAAAGGCUACGUUGUUUUAAAAAGUAGAAAUCAAGCGCUAAUUUCCAAAUGAUUCACUAAAAUCCUGCUAACCAGCGUUCUGCCUUUUGUGCUUUCGUGCUUGGCGGAGGGAAUAACAUUUUUAUAGUGAACCCGCGGUGCAUGGCUCCUUGACGGAAGGUCACGGGAGGUCAAAGGGUAUUCUCACCCGCUUUGCCCUCCUACUGUUUGAUUUGACCUCCCCCCCCCCGACUGCUGUACCUCUUCAAACGCACCCACAUUUAAAGUGGUUUUCUUUUUUUUCUUGAGUUCAGCCUUAAUUAUCUUUUCAGACUUGCUAGUUACAUUUUAUGGCCUCCCGUGUAUUUCCAACCUCCUUGUUGCUAAAUACGGUGACAAGAGCGUGACUCCAAAAGCGUAAAAAUGAGCUAAGUGGUUCAGAAAGACAUUCCCUCUACAAAUCGGACACAUUUAUGAGCGUGUUUGUCUGCCGGCCAGUUAGUAGUUUGCCAAGGACUGAACCCAUCACAAAAACAAUGAGCUCCAAAAAGAGCCAGUGGGACAAAUCUUCCUCAUUACUUUGGUGACACCUCGCACAAAGAGCCCCCACGUGCGCCCGUGUGACAAUUCCACAUCCCUCGUUACACCAGGAGAGCUAAUUCAGCCCGGCCCGCCUUUGUGAGGGGGCACCGGGUGGAAGCCGGAUAAGGGAGGGGUCCCGUUAGGAGGUGAGGGGGGCGGGAGUGUAGUCGGUGGGAAUAAAGAGCGAGACGAGUGAAAGGGAGGAGGGCCAGAGGAGAGAACAUGAAGAGACGCUGUAAAUUUAACUGCCAAAUGCAAAUGGCCGGCCACACACAUUAUCCACACACUCCCCGUCCUUGGAAACCAGACCGGUAUGCGUGUUGACACAAGCUGCGGAGGAAGUUAAUGAUCAAAGUUCAUUAUCACACCCCUCGAAAUGUCGUCACGGGUCAAACGUGAAUCAAGAUAGCUUUAAAUGCCGCCUAUAAAUGUAUUCAUCUGAUCAACAUAGCUAAUUUGAACAGUCUGCUCUGAUGGAUGUUGCAACCAGGAGUUGAAAUGCUAUGACGAGCCAGAUAAAAAAAAAAAAAAUGAACGAAAACAGGGCGGACACCAUGCGGUGCAGAGGAGGUCCGGGUCGGUACCAGUCGCUGGGCUUGAUGAAUGUCUGACACCUGGGAGAGCAUCAUGGCAUUCAAGAGAAGAAUGUGGGCUCGCAGUGUGGAGGCGAUCUGUCACGAAAUGUCAAACCGCUGUCGGGAUAUGCAUAAAUGAUGACAUCCUGCGUGAGCAGUCAAAACUCAGUCCGAGAUAAAAUGCACGUCUCGGUUAAUACACCCUCAUAUUGUCCUUAUUAGGUCCAAAAGAAAGGGAACCAUAUUUGAUUGAGUGGGGUUACAAUUGACCCAGCGUGCCUAUAAAGUAUUAUAACUUCCUUGGCAGAGGCCCACAUGAAAAGAUUCUUCUUCCAUCUCCUGCUACCACACCCUCCUUGGGAACCAGGAUGUUGAUCGAAAGUAUUUUCCCCCCCUCCACCUAUUGUUCUCACUUCUCUCCCAUGCUUACUGGCCAGCAAAGACACCGAAGCAAUGUGCCAAAACAGGCAGCGUCUCCCCCCUCGCUCCCCCGUUCGGCACCCUGGUGUCCUGGAGCGUCUGUUAUCUUGUAGGAAAUGGACUGGUCACAACCCAGAGAGGACAGAUGGUCUGCGUGACGUUAGGAAGUCCUGGUGAGGACUGAUAACCAAUGAUGCGACCUCUUCCUGUCGGCCAACAUCCAGCCGUUUGAUUCAAGUAUUUUUUGGGAGACGUCAACACGCACAUGAAACAACAUGG